This 582-nucleotide small RNA is filed under the name Pan troglodytes (chimpanzee). RNAcentral describes it as "processed transcript". Lineage: Eukaryota; Metazoa; Chordata; Mammalia; Primates; Hominidae. The record is from RNAcentral.
AGAAUUCGAGGGGGUGGGGCUUUGCCCGGACAGAGGAUCUCCUCGCUGGCCUACUCUCUCCUCCCGUACGGCGCCGGAAUCCCAGCUCCACUUACCAGGCCGCGGCUACCCUGCCGUCCCCCCCGACUCCCGCCACCCCGCUCUCCCAGGCUCUUCAGGAUCCAAGUCUGUAGGCCCUUUAAGGGGUCUAAUUGCCGUUUGCGGGGCCCUGGGACUUUGAUCCCAGACAGCGAGGAUCCGGAUGGCUUCCGUGCGGAUCCGAGAGGCCAAGGAGGGAGACUGUGGAGAUAUCCUGAGGCUGAUUCGGGUGAAGACUGCGGGCCGGAGCUAGCCGAAUUCGAAAAACUCUCGGAUCAGGUGAAGAUCAGUGAAGAAGCCCUGAGAGCAGAUGGCUUUGGAGACAAUCCUUUCUAUCACUGUUUGGUAGCAGAGAUUCUUCCAGCGCCCGGGAAGCUACUGGGUCAAGGGAUUGGUUCCAAAAUAAUCAAAAAGGUGGCUGAGGUGGCCUUGGAUAAGGGCUGCUCCCAAUUCCGCCUGGCCGUCCUGGACUGGAACCAGAGGGCCAUGGACUUGUACAAGGCC